UACGGAGGGGGCUAGCGUUGUUCGGAAUUACUGGGCGUAAAGCGCGCGUAGGCGGCUUUGUAAGUUAGAGGUGAAAGCCCGAAGCUCAACUUCGGAAUUGCCUUUAAGACUGCAUCGCUAGAAUCAUGGAGAGGUUAGUGGAAUUCCGAGUGUAGAGGUGAAAUUCGUAGAUAUUCGGAAGAACACCAGUGGCGAAGGCGACUAGCUGGACAUGUAUUGACGCUGAGGUGCGAAAGCGUGGGGAGCAAACAGG
RNAcentral lists this ribosomal RNA (253 nucleotides) under uncultured bacterium. RNAcentral's name for it is "partial 16S ribosomal RNA". It matches the Rfam family "Bacterial small subunit ribosomal RNA", at positions 524 to 776 of the family's 1533-position model. The record is from RNAcentral.